Molecule: ribosomal RNA, 269 nt
Filed under: uncultured bacterium
Lineage: Bacteria
Description: partial 16S ribosomal RNA
Rfam family: Bacterial small subunit ribosomal RNA
Source: RNAcentral
UUUGAUGGCGACCGGCGCACGGGUAAGUAACACGUAUCCAACCUGCCGAUGACUCGGGGAUAGCCUUUCGAAAGAAAGAUUAAUACCCGAUGGCAUAGUUCUUCCGCAUGGUAGAACUAUUAAAGAAUUUCGGUCAUCGAUGGGGAUGCGUUCCAUUAGCUUGUUGGCGGGGUAACGGCCCACCAAGGCAUCGAUGGAUAGGGGUUCUGAGAGGAAGGUCCCCCACAUUGGAACUGAGACACGGUCCAAACUCCUACGGGAGGCAGCAG